RNAcentral lists this transfer RNA (75 nucleotides) under Candidatus Cloacimonadota bacterium. RNAcentral's name for it is "Candidatus Cloacimonetes bacterium tRNA-Glu". It matches the Rfam family "tRNA". From Rfam's summary of the family: Transfer RNA (tRNA) molecules are approximately 80 nucleotides in length. Their secondary structure includes four short double-helical elements and three loops (D, anti-codon, and T loops). The record is from RNAcentral. Lineage: Bacteria; Pseudomonadati; Candidatus Cloacimonadota. RNAcentral also lists the same sequence under 3 other names.
GACCCCUUCGUCUAUCGGUCAGGACACAAGAUUUUCAUUCUUGUAAGAGGGGUUCGAUUCCCCUAGGGGUCGCCA